This 349-nucleotide ribosomal RNA is filed under the name uncultured bacterium. RNAcentral describes it as "bacterial SSU rRNA". It matches the Rfam family "Bacterial small subunit ribosomal RNA", at positions 1 to 334 of the family's 1533-position model. The record is from RNAcentral.
GUACUACUCUCAGAGUUUGAUCCUGGCUCAGGAUGAACGCUAGCGGCAGGCUUAACACAUGCAAGUCGAGGGGCAGCAUGAGACGGAGAUUCGUCGAAGUCUUGAUGGCGACCGGCGCAAGGGUGCGUAACGCGUGAGCAACUUGCCCGUUUCAGGGGGAUAACCGGUGGAAACGCCGACUAAUACCCCAUAGUAUGUUUUUAAGGCAUCUUUUAAACAUUAAAGAAUUUCGGAAACGGAUAGGCUCGCGUGACAUUAGCUAGAUGGCGGGGUAACGGCCCACCAUGGCGACGAUGUCUAGGGGUUCUGAGAGGAAGGUCCCCCACACUGGAACUGAGACACGGUCCAG